This 7130-nucleotide long non-coding RNA is filed under the name Eutrema salsugineum. RNAcentral describes it as "long non-coding RNA (ESAL_LNC001035)". Lineage: Eukaryota; Viridiplantae; Streptophyta; Magnoliopsida; Brassicales; Brassicaceae. The record is from RNAcentral.
UUUUUGAGAAAGUUGCCUCUAUAUCCAAACGGGACAUAUAGAUAAUAUCAGCCAAAGAGAAAGAGAAAGAUAUAGAGAGAGAUGGGUUCUUUACAGUUAAAUCAUGUGUUCAUUGUGGUUCUGCUUCUUUGCGUUCUCCCUUGCCUUACCGAAUCUGCUCUCCCUUCUCAAUAUGAACCACUUUCAAUCAACGGUUAGUUUUACUUUUUCAGUACUGUUGGAGGUGAAAACCGCACCCCGGUUUUCUCCGGUGCAAACCGAAAUCGACAAAACAUAAGCCUGGUUUACGAAGGGACGUAUCAAGAAAAGAUGAGCCGAGCAAAGAUGGGCCGAAUACAGCCCAUUAGGCCGAGGUCGGUGAGAAACCUCUCGAAGGAAUAGAGAGUUUCCUGAGCUCGGUCGAAACAGGAAAGUUUCCUAAUGGGAAAAGGAAACUUUGGAGAGAAAAGGAAAGGAACCGAGAGAAAAUGAAACUCCUCUCGGUCCCAUAUCGUCUAAGGCGUGCUUGAAGACCGACUUAAGAGAUAUAUAUAAAGGGAGACGAAUCGACACCAGAAAACACAAGAUAUUCCCGAGAAGACUUAAAGACUGAGAACUCACUACGCUAGCUUCUUAGUCGCCUUAAGUCUUAGUUCGUUAUUGUCUAUCUGAAUAACCGAACUCAGUUGUAUUUUACUUGAUUCAAUCUAAUAAAAACCGAACUUCCGAUCUAAAAGUACUGUUUUGUCCUUUGUCGAUAUUUGCAUAUCAACACUUGGCGCGCCAGGAAGGGGGACUUAAACAGAUUUCUCAAAUUUUAGAUCGGACUUCGGAAAGAUUGAAUCAAUGAUGACGGAUCAAACCAACAUUCAUGAAGAAAAAAACCCUCUCGGAGGAGAGAACGCCAACGCCCCAACAGGGCAAGGAGGAGGAACUUCUGGGGAAAACGCUGGAACUAUAGCCGGCCAGACUCCCGCAGGAGGUUAUGGAACCGAACUGCUACUUCAAGUAUUUAAUGCCCAGUUCGAGGCCAUCAAAAAAAUAAGUGAGGAACGUUUCAGUCAGAUGGCGGCACAAAUCGCCGAACUCAGUCAAACACGAACUCCUCUCCGAGUUCGGAACAUCAUUGACGAUCUUAAUACCGACGGAGAUCCAGCCGGAACUAUGAGGUCUGCCGCAGUCGGGUCAGCGAAUGCACCAGCAUCGGAUUUGAGCCGAGACGCCGAGUUCGAAGCAAUGAAUGCGCAGCUUCGCGAUAUCACCUCAAAGAUACAUCAAGCCACAAGCGCGGCUCCGGAAAUCGAACGCGUCAUUCAGGAAACACAGAAGACACCCUUCACACCGUGCGUAGCAGGGACGCCGGUCAAACACAUGGAGAAACUAAAGAUAAAAAUCUACGAAGGCAACUCUGACCCCCGACACUUCUUGACAUCGUUCGGCAUCUGCAUGAACCGAUCCCAAUUCAAAUCCGCCGUAGAAAGAGACGCGGUUCAGUGCCAACUGUUUGUGGAAAGUCUGGGAGGAGUAGCCCUCGACUGGUUCUCGCGACUCAAAGCCAAUUCGAUCGACAACUACAAGGAGUUAACGACGGCUUUCGUCAAACACUUCUCCAUGUUCAUUGGACAGAACACCAAGAACUCCGAGCUCUGGCAAAUAGCUCAAGGACCAAGCGAGAGCCUUCGUGAUUUCAUCCAGCGCUUCAAGACGAUCGUCGCCAAUUGUACGAUUAACGACGAAGCCGCUCUCUUAUGUCUUCAGAAAGGAGCUCGGAUAAAGACUAGCUUCUGAAGCGCGAUCAAGCAUAACCCCCCACAGACAUUAGAAGACGCGUUGCACCGAGCUAAUACUUACAUCGCUGAAGAAGAAGAAGAAGCCGCGUACGAGCAGAGUUAUUCAACGAAGCAACCCGAACGUCCGAAAACCGUGACUAAUGAGCCGCAGUCGGGAUACGGUCGAGGAUACGAGAAUCGCAAAAAGGUCUAUGCUAAUGCGAUCCAACAACCGAACAAGAAGUGGAACAAUAAAUGGGUCCGCGGUGAAGAAGAUCAAGACGAGUCAUUAUUCUGCGAAUUCCAUAACCGUAGGGGCCACAGCACCGAAGAAUGCAGACAUCUGCGAGAAUAUCUACUCGGCCUAUAUCGAAAGGAACCGAUCUUGGUCGACGAACUCCGACGCUCAAACGCGUCUAAGAGCGGCGGGCAACUUUCGAUUGACGAUCUCCGUUGUUCACACAUGCCUUGACCAAACAACGAACAGCUUGAGAAAGCACUCGCCAAAGAUCCACCAGCUCCACCGGCUUUACCAACACUACCACCACCACCACCGAAUCCGCCUGUUUUGCCCGAGCAACAGAAACGGAAUCGUGAUGACCGAGCACCAGAGAAUCACGCUCCUAAGGCGCGGAAACGUGUCAACAUGAUAAUGGGGGCCAUCGAAGCUUGCAGUUAUUCGGUUCAAGCCAUCAAGGAAUACAGCCGACAGGCCGCCAGCGCGCCCAAAGCCCCGCAGGAUCCGCCGAAGGGAACACCCUUGGUAUUUACCGAGGCCGAUACAAUCGGGUUGCACAAACCGCAUAACGAUGCCCUCGUCGUCGAACUACUCCUCGACGAUGUUGAAGUUAGCCGAAUUCUGGUCGAUACGGGUAGUUCGGUUAACAUUAUCUUCAAGGAAGCACUGACCAGCUCGAACUAGCAUCAGAUAGGAUUGAGCCAUUUAUCGAGCCACUUACCGGUUUCGAUGGAGAACGUUGUAUGACGGUCGGCAUGGUCAAUAUUCCGAUCUACCUCGGCGGAGUCGCGAAGAUUAUCCAGUUCCUUAUCCUCGACAAACCGGCAAUCUACAACGCUAUUCUCGGUACACCUUGGCUACACGCGAUGAAAGCGGUCGCCUCGACGUACCAUUAAUGCCUAAAGUUCCCGACUCCCGACGGUGUUUACACUCUCCGAGGAAACCAAGCCGUCGCUCGAUCGUGAUACAUAAACGAGUGCAGACUUCAUUCGGCCAACCAGGCUUGUGUCAUUAGUUCGUUGGGACCAACUGACAAGCUCGUCGUCCAGCAGACAAAACCUAAGCAGGAGUCGAUUGUUCAAAUUUGCAUCGACGAACUAAGGCCAGAACGUCAAGUCGGAAUCGGCGCCGAGCUCGAUCCAGUCAUUCGCGAGCCACUCAUUCAUUUUUUGAAACAGCAUUCAUCAACCUUCGCUUGGUCGGUAGAAGAUAUGCCCGGGAUCGAUCCACAGAUCGCGUGUCACGAGCUCAACAUUGAUCCGACGUAUAAGCCAAUCAAGCAGAAACGCCGAAAGCUCAGACCAGAGAAAGCACAAGCCGUGAAUGAUGAGGUCGAGCGGUUACUCAAAGCCGGAUCCAUCACCGAAGUCAAGUACCCAGAUUGGUUAGCCAACCCCGUGGUUGUAAAAAAGAAGAACGGUAAAUGGAGGAUCUACGUCGACUUUACCGACCUCAAUAAGGCGUGUCCGAAAGACAGUUUUCCUUUGCCUCAUAUCGACCGCCUAGUGGAAGCGACUGCCGGGAACGAACUACUCUCGUUUAUGGACGCGUUCUCCGGGUACAAUCAGAUUCUUAUGCAUCCGCAAGAUCGGGAGAAGAAAUCGUUCAUCACGGACCGCGGCAUCUACUGCUAUAAGGUCAUGCCCUUCGGCCUGAAGAAUGCUGGAGCAACAUACCAACAAUUGGUAAACCGGAUGUUCGCAAGCCAGCUCGGGCGAACUAUGGAAGUUUACAUCGACGACAUGCUCGUGAAAUCGCUCAUCGCUUCCGAACAUGUCGGCCAUCUUCGCACAUGCUUCAAUAUUCUGGACCAGUAUGGUAUGAAGCUUAAUCCAACUAAGUGUACGUUCGGCAUGACUUCUGGAGAGUUCCUCGGAUACAUCGUUACACGGCGAGGCAUUGAAGCUAAUCCAAAACAGAUCGCCGCUAUUCUCGAGCUCCCGUCGCCGACAACCAAACGCGAAGUUCAGCGACUUACCGGACGUAUCGCAGCACUUAACUGAUUCAUAUCCAGAUCGACGGAUAAGUGCUUGCCUUUCUACCAACUUCUUCGCGGUAACAAGCAUCUCGAAUGGAACGAGAAGUGUGAAGAAGCCUUCGCCGAGCUAAAGAAAUACUUGUCCACUCCGCCAGUUUUAUCCAAACCAGAAACCGGCGAGACACUUUAUCUUUACAUCACGAUUUCGGAGUUCGUAGUCAGCAGUGUUCUUGUUCGAGAAGAUCACGGGGAGCAGAAGCCAAUUUUCUACACAAGCAAAUCCCUCGAUGGAUCGGAGUAUCGUUAUCCGACUUUGGAGAAAUUCGCCUUUGCGGUGGUUAUUUCUGCACGAAAGCUACGCCCGUACUUCCAAUCUCACGCGAUCGUGGUCCUAACCGAUCAUCCUCUUCGUACUUUCCUCCAUAGCCCAAGUCAGUCCGGACGACUCGUUAAGUAGGCUAUCGAACUCAGUGAAUAUGACAUCGAAUACCGAGGAAGAACAGCAACGAAGUCUCAAGUCCUAGCAGAUUUCUUGGUGGAACUCCCACCGGAGCUCGUCGACAAUAAUCCGGUCGUACAACCCUGGAUUCUUCACGCCGAUGGUUCAUCGUCCCAUAAAGGAUCCGGAGUCGGAAUUCGUCUCAAAUCACCCGAAGGAGAAGUUAUCGAGCAGUCGUUUCGUCUCGGCUUCCCGGCAUCCAACAACGAAGCCGAGUACGAAGCAUUGAUUGCCGGACUACGACUCGCCAAAGGCAUCGGCGCCGAGCACGUACACGCCUACUGCGACUCUCAACUCGUAGCUAACCAGUUUCACGGCGAAUACGAGGCCAAGAACGACUGCAUGGACGCAUAUCUCAAAGUCCUUAAAGAUGUCGCUUCGGAGUUCUCUACCUUCGAACUCACAAUGAUACCUCGAGAUGAGAAUGCAACCGCCGACGCCUUAGCCGCUCUCGCGACUAACUCUGAUCCUGACCUUCGGCGAACUAUCCCAAUUGUAGCAAUCGAGCGACCAAGUAUCGAGCCCGCUCCGAACUGCAACAUCAUUACAAGACGACGUGAUUACGAAACCCAACCCAAUCCCGCCCCACCCCUCACCCGGAAGACGAAACCCAAAGAAGUCGUUCCCGAUCCCAACAACGACACAGACGAGCUCAAUGAUAACGAAUUCGAUCCCGAAGACGAAUCCGAAGGCCAACAUAUUCCAAUCGAUUUCGAAGCCGAAGGAGAGGACGAACCCGAAGAUUCGACUUUAGAAAUUGUGGGAUACAUCGGAGAUUGAACAGUUCCCGCAGAUAAAUGGGCAGCUCGGUGCCUAAAGGCUCGUGCAGCUCGAUACGUGGUCAUUAAGGGUACUCUCCUCAGAUGGGAUGCGUCCGGUGUACUCUUGACUUGCGUUCACGGCAACGACAUCACGGAAGUAAUGCAGAAGGUCCAUGAAGGAGAAGGAGGAAAUCACUCCGGAGCUCGGUACUUGGCAUUUAAGAUCAAAAAAGCUGGCUAUUACUGGCCUACUAUGCUCUCCGAUUGCGAGAAGUAUACGGCACGCUGCGAGAAGUGCCAAUGUCAUGGUCCGAUGAUCAAUCUUCCUACCAAGCUCCUGAUGACCUCACCCCGGUUUUCUCCGGUGCAAACCGAGAUUGGCAAAACAUAAGCCCGGUUUACGAAGGGACGUACCGAGAAAAGAUGGGCCGAGCAAAGAUGGGCCGAAUACAGCCCAUUAGGCCGAGGUCGGUGAGAAACCUUUCGAAGGAAUAGAGAGUUUCCUGAGCUCGGUCGAAACAGGAAAGUUUCCUAAUGGGAAAAUGAAACUUUGGAGAGAAAAGGAAAGGAACCGAGAGAAAAGGAAAUUCCUCUCGGUCCCAUAUCGUCUAAGGCGUGCUUGAAGACCGACUUAGGAGAUAUAUAUAAAUGGAGACGAAUCGACACCAGAAAACACAAGAUAUUCCCGAGAAGACUUAAAGACUGAGAAUUCACUACGCUAGCUUCUUAAUCGCCUUAAGUCUUAGUUCGUUAUUUUCUAUCUGAAUAACCGAACUCAAUUGUAUUUUACUUGAUUCAAUCUAAUAAAAACCAAACUUCCGAUCUAAAAGUAUUGUUUGUCCCUUGUCCAUAUUUGCAUAUCAACAAGUACACACUGCAUUAAUACAUAUAAGUUGCAUACGUAGUACUUGUGUUUACAUAUGAUUGGUUAAUACUAUCAAUGGUCUAAAUUGAUGGAAGAUGUAAAUAUUUUGUGGUUCAUUAUCAUUUAAAAAGACAAACUAUAUAACAUGUAUAUAUAAAGACGAACGUACAAAAAAGAAAUCAAACUAAAGGUCUUCUACCAUAUCCUUAACUUUUCAAACUAUAAAUGGUUGUACACUCGUAGACUCAUACAUAUAUACAUACUCUAAUAAACUUAUACUAGAGGAUUUUUCAUGAUCUCUCUUUGAAUAAAACCCAAAAAUCGAGUAUGGUAAAAAAAUUAUCUCUUUGAGCACCUCCACUUUUUUUUAAAAUAUAUUUUUAUUAUUAAAAUCCCAAAAUGGGCAUCGGAACAAUACAUCUCCGCUGGUGAAUCUGAACAAAAGAGUGAAAAAAGACUUGGAAAUAGAUUAGGCUAGAUGACUAGAAUAAAUAACAAAGAAGCAAACUAUAAUAUCUUAAUAUCUUAUGACUAACGAUGUCUUCUGAAUUAUUUGAAGGGAGGAGAAUGAUAGGUUCUAAUAAUCGCAUACCCAUAAGGACAGGACAUUCAUCAAAUGGACAAGGUGGAAGUCCUAAUGGUAUAAUACUAUAAUAAUCUCCCACAUCAUAUAUUAAUUUCUUAUAAACUUUUUCCACGUUUCUUUUCGAUUUAUUCUAAUCUAAUUUCAUUACAUAAUUCAUCUAUAAUAAUUUGCUUCCUUUUUUAAAAAAAAAAUACUGAAUUAUUUACCUAUAUCUUGUAAAUAUAUGUGAACUAUAGGGAGAAGACUAAUGAGUAUAUAUAUUCCAAACGGGGACAUAUUUGCAAGACCAUCAGGCAGUGGGCAUGGUGGUGGUCGCAAUCCAGCUCCCUAGUACACUAUCCAUUUAUAUAUGUGUGUAUUAAUGUCAUGUGUAAUUUCUACUUUCACAAGUUAAGCUUUUAAUUUUGCAUGUGUUGGUGUAAUAAAAUAUGUCCUAAUGUAAUGUUAAAAUCCUG